AACGAACGCUGGCGGCAGGCCUAACACAUGCAAGUCGAGCGAGGACUUCGGUUCUAGCGGCGGACGGGUGAGUAACGCGUGGGAAUGUGCCCUUCUCUACGGAAUAGCCCUGGGAAACUGGGAGUAAUACCGUAUACGCCCUUUUGGGGAAAGAUUUAUCGGAGAGGGAUCAGCCCGCGUUGGAUUAGGUAGUUGGUGGGGUAAUGGCCUACCAAGCCGACGAUCCAUAGCUGGUUUGAGAGGAUGAUCAGCCACACUGGGACUGAGACACGGCCCAGACUCCUACGGGAGGCAGCAGUGGGGAAUCUUAGACAAUGGGGGCAACCCUGAUCUAGCCAUGCCGCGUGAGUGAUGAAGGCCUUAGGGUUGUAAAGCUCUUUCAGCUGGGAAGAUAAUGACGGUACCAGCAGAAGAAGCCCCGGCUAACUCCGUG
Molecule: ribosomal RNA, 433 nt
Filed under: uncultured bacterium
Lineage: Bacteria
Description: partial 16S ribosomal RNA
Rfam family: Bacterial small subunit ribosomal RNA
Source: RNAcentral